GGAGAAGCUGCAGCCGGAGGUGUCGCGAGCCGCAUCCAGAGCCGCUGACGGUACCAGCUGUUUCCUUAGGUCGCAGGCCAUGGUGCAAGGGACAUGAGGGGCGACAGAAGCUUCCUACUGGAUGAGCGCAGAGAGCGGCAGCGAUCCUGGUCGCUGGAGGCAGCGCCUCCGUGAAUACAAAGCACCUGGCUGCGGCCCAGCCUCCGGCCCCACUUGCUGGCCUCAGAGCCGUCGGAGGAGGCCAUUUUCCUCCCUCCAGGGCCCAAGAAUCAAAGAGACAUGAGGCAGGUUAGCAGGAAAAACCCAAACCAAGUUUAGUAACAUGCAUACCUGGGAAAGACCCAGGAAAACCCAGCAACUCAUCAAAACGGCCCAAACCCUCGCCCCAAGUACCAUCAACAGCUAAGGACAAAGGAGGGCGUCCGGGGAGCGUGGCUUUGGACGAGGCGGGGGAGGAAGGCCGUUCUGACCUCGAUGGAGAAGCAAAGUUUUGGUAAAGCGACUGUUCGCGCAGCCGCGCAGAGGAGGGCCAGAGGGGGCCAGGUGCCUGCGAGUCCUCACCCGGCGGCCUGCUUGGCUGCAUCUCUUGUGAGCACGUCCCGAAACUGGCCCUCCAUCUAGAUUCUGAUUCAGGCAGCUACGGCGGAUGCCAGAGCUUCUUCCUGAGUCUUCUGGGUUUGUUUGUUUUCGGCUCAAAAUAAUCCUGUACCAAAGAGACAUUUUGGGGAGGCAAGCUUCACUGCACAGCCCUGUUUUCAUCAGACAGCCGGCAAUACAGGAGGACCCGGGAUGUCGGAGCUGGAGAAGGCCGUGGUGGCCCUGAUUGACGUCUUCCAUCAGUAUUCUGGGAGGGAGGGGGACAAGCACAAGCUGAAGAAAUCCGAACUCAAGGAGCUCAUCAACAGCGAGCUUUCCCACUUCCUGGAGGAAAUCAAAGAGCAGGAGGUCGUGGACAAAGUCAUGGAGACACUGGACAGCGAUGGAGAUGGCGAGUGUGACUUCCAGGAAUUCAUGGCUUUUGUCGCCAUGGUUACCACUGCCUGCCACGAGUUCUUUGAACACGAGUGAACUGGAGAAAACCGACACGCAGUUCCUGCAGCGGAGAUGUGCGCAUCGUGCAGGGCAGUGGAGGCAGGGCUUUGGCAGGACAGUAGGCGCUGAGCUUUCCGGCUGUGUUGUAGCUAAUUAGGAAGCUUGAUUUGCUUUGUGAAUGGAAAAUUUAAACCUCUUUCCAGGGGCAGUUUUUAGUGGCCCCCGUCAUUGCUCCUGCAAUAGUAAGCAUACAGUUAGCUGACUGGUCCCAGGACUGCUGGUAAUCUUCAUUUAGGAAAGUCAGUUCUCGGUCACGAAGCGUGUGCUCUCCUAGCUGUGUAGACCCUUAGCCCAGAAAAAACAAACUGACCAGGAGCAUUGGGGUUUUCUUAAGCUUCCACUACAUUUAAAAAUACGAAGCCUUGUCCACUAUCCUUCGCAAAGGCUGCCCUUCGUUAAAUCUGUUCCUCACUGGGGCAAAUGAGACCUAUCAUGGGAGGGUGGCCUGACCAUCUGUGCCACCCACCCAAAGAGCGCGGCCACAUCUAGAUCCCUUCCCUGCGGUGUGCUGUGAUUGUCGCGCAUGUGAUGCUGCCAGUUCUGGGUGGAACAUCUGCCUCAGAAAGCAAGUGCUGACAUUAUCACUGUGAUUGGAACUGAGAAUGGAAAUUCUACCCUCGGUGGGGUUCUCCUCAGAGGAACACUCGCUGCCAGAUCUGGGGGGGCCACGUGGCUCAGGUGGCACGAGCGGGAGCAGGGGAGCUCAGGUGGGUCUCACGCUGCCUUGGAGACAGCUGUGCCCACCUCCUGCCCAGUCUGUAGAAGGAGGGCUUCCGGAAGAUGUGUCUGGUCCGCUGGAGAAGGUCGUUCCUGACCUGUGGAAUGUGAAGCCAGGGAGCCUAUUUAUGGCCUUUAUGCUUCUGUGUCCACAAAUUCAAAUACAUCAAGUUUCAAAUCAAAUAGUCAAGUUGCAAAUACUAGAAAUCACUUCCAAGAAAAUUCAAAUUACGCUUUCCACCCUUUUUCUGAUUUGCUGUUUUUAAGGACAGACUUGGGAGAUUCACGAACCAAUUGAUCGCUUGUAUUUGCAUUAAAUAAAAAGCAUUGUAACAAGUCUCCGAAGCUGUUAAACAUGAAAUAAAAGCUAAAUGCCUGCAAAA
This 2192-nucleotide long non-coding RNA is filed under the name Sus scrofa (pig). RNAcentral's name for it is "lncRNA (ENSSSCG00030011307.1)". The record is from RNAcentral. Lineage: Eukaryota; Metazoa; Chordata; Mammalia; Artiodactyla; Suidae.